ACGCCAUCAGGACACGCAGGUUGAUUUUGUCCUCCUACACCAGACGCCAUCAGGACACGCAGGUUGAUUUUGUCCUCCUACACCAGACGCCAUCAGGACACGCAGGUUGAAAUGUCAAAACAAACUCUGAACCAACUACAUUAAUUUGGGGACAGGUCAAAAAGCAUUAAACAUUUAUGGUAAUUUAGCUAGCUAGCUUGAUGUUUCUAGCUAAUUUGUCCUGGGAUAUAAUCAUUGGGUUGUUAUUUGACCUGAAAUGCACAAGGUCCACUACUUCGACAAUUAAUCCACAGAUAAAAGGGUAAACCUAGUACUAGAAAUGAAAUCUCUCCUCCUUCAGGCUUCUUCUUCUUUGGACUUUAUAUGGUGGUUGGAAACCAACUUUAAGGUGCAUUACCACCACCAAGUUGAUUGGAGUGUGGACCUCAGUUCAUCUUUCAAUCACCCAUGUGGGUAUAUGCUCCUAAAAACCAAUGAGGAGAUGGGAGAGGCGGGACUUGCAGCGCAUCAAGCGUCACAAAUGGAACCAAAUUCUAUUUUAGCGCCUGGCUACGCAGAUGCUCGUUGACGCGCACGGACAGUGUGGGUGCAAUGAUUGAAUAACAUUUGUGUACAUUUAUUUUGUGACGCGAGCGGCGUGGUCAGCAUGUUAUAGUUUGGGUUCUGAUGGAUACAACAGUUCAUGAGGCGUUUGAGUUCUAUUCUUCAAGAAUCAAUAUCAGUAGUGUAGCAACUGCAGAUUGCUCCUUUAACAGACUAUAUGGUUAAAACCCUUCAAAAUCAAUAUCUGUCUGAUUACUGCCCUUAUCAAUACACUGAACUGGAGACACAGGAGGGAACGGGACAACCCACAGCAAACUCCUCCAUCAAAUAAUGAAUUCAUCAACCAAUCAAUCUCUCAAUAAACCAAUCAAUCAAACGUACAUCAAUCAUAUGAUCUGUUCUGUUAUGAAGGUGGUAAAGAGAGAACCAGCUGCUGGAGACACAACCACUACUGAAGGGACUGCCCAGCAGAGCCAGAACAGCUCACCUCUCACUGUGAAAGAGGAACCGGUUGACUCCACAGUACCGUCCCAGCCCCCUAGAGGAGAGAAGAGGAACAAGAGGAGGAGCAACCCUGUGGUUGGUGUGAACUUCCUGGUCCAGGUGUCCCACAGGAGAAGGAAACAGUACUACUGUCAGCUAUGUUCUGUCAGGAUGAAACACGCUAUUACUGAUCACAUGACCAGCCUCAGCCACCGACACAACUAUGUGGUGCGUGUGUUUUUAAGUCAAUCUUUAUUUAGUAAGGUGUGCAUCAUUACAGGGAUGUCAAUCGAUAACCAUUUAUUUUGGGGAUGUUUGACAUGCAUUAAAUUUCGCUUGUUGUCUUUUGUAGAGGUUGAAGUACCCUGGUUGGACCUCCAGCCCGGUGGAGAUGGAGAAGAAGCUGUUCAAAAUGGCCGUUCACCUGGAGAAGGUCGACAGAGACGCAGGAAUGGGCAUGCAGGUCAACACACACACACUGAAAGUUUACAAUUGUCGGGGUGGAAGGUGUCUGUGCUUCGUUCAUUGGGGCCUGCUUCCUGCGUCAGUCAGGUUGUCUCUGUCACAAAGCAUGAUGAACCCUGUUGACUGUUGCGUACUGUUACAGGAAAAUUGUGUGCCUCUUUCCUGUAAAUUAAAUUCAAACUAUUUUAGGUCCCACAGACACACACAGACUCACACUAACACCAAACACAUACACCACUAGCACCAAACUCUCAUGCUCUACUAGCACCAAACUCACACUCUACUAGCACCAAACUCACACUCUACUAGCAGCAAACUCACACUCUACUAGCACCAAACUCACACUCUACUAGCACCAAACUCACACUCUACUAGCACCAAACUCACACUCUACUAGCACCAAACUCACGCUCUACUAGCACCAAACUCACACUAGCACCAAACUCACACUCUACUAGCACCAAAUUCACACUCUACUAGCACCAAACUCACACUCUACUAGCUCCAAAUUCACACUCUAGUAGCACCAAAUUCACACUCUAGUAGCACCAAACUCACGCUCUACUAGCACCAAACUCACACGCUCUACUAGCACCAAACUCACACGCUCUACUAGCACCAAACUCACACGCUCUACUAGCACCAAACUGACACGCUCUACUAGCACCAAACUCACACGCUCUACUAGCACCAAACUCACACGCUCUACUAGCACCAAACUCACACUAGCACCAAAUUCACGCUCUACUAGCACCAAACUCACGCUCUACUAGCACCAAACUCACACACUACUAGCACCAAACUCACACUCUACUAGCACCAAACUCACACUCUACUAGCACCAAAUUCACACUCUACUAGCACCAAAUCCACACUCUACUAGCACCAAAUUCACACUCUACUAGCACCAAACUCACACUCUACUAGCACCAAACUCACACACUACUAGCACCAAACUCACACACUACUAGCACCAAACUCACACACUACUAGCACCAAACUCAUACUAGCACCAAAUUCACACUCUACUAGCUCCAAAUUCACACUCUACUAGCACCAAACUCACACUCUACUAGCACCAAAUUCACACUCUACUAGCACCAAAUUCACACUCUACUAGCACCAAAUUCACACUCUACUAGCACCAAAUUCACGCUCUACUAGCACCAAACUCACGCUCUACUAGCACCAAACUCACGCGCUCUACUAGCACCAAACUCACACGCUCUACUAGCACCAAACUCACGCGCUCUACUAGCACCAAACUCACGCGCUCUACUAGCGCCAAACUCACGCGCUCUACUAGCGCCAAACUCACGCGCUCUACUAGCGCCAAACUCACGCGCUCUACUAGCGCCAAACUCACGCGCUCUACUAGCGCCAAACUCACGCGCUCUACUAGCGCCAAACUCACGCGCUCUACUAGCGCCAAACUCACACGCUCUACUAGCACCAAACUCACACUAGCUCCAAUCUCACACUCCACUAGCACCAAACACAUUUGCUGAUGUUCUCUCUCUGUGUAACAGAAGGUAGAAGUGGAAGCUGAUGAGUACAAAGAGCUGUUGUCCUUUCCUGUGGAGGAAGGUAAGCUUGGACAAAGGAAAAAUCCACCCCAUUUUGAAUGUUAUAUUGUUUUUUGUGCAUUUCUGGGCGCUGUUGUAUCGGUUUGAGGGGUCAUGUUUUCAUAUGUAUCUGGGCUAUUGCAGGCAGAAAUACAGCCGGUAUGACAAGUUGUAUUUCUGCCUGCGUGAACUGCAAUAGCUAAGAUAAACAUGAAAUGACCCCAGGAAUCGAUAGAACAUCGCUCAGAGAUGCACAAAAUAACAUUCUAAAUGGGUUAAUCUUUCUUUGAAUUACUGUGGUUGAUAUAUGGUUGUU
RNAcentral lists this long non-coding RNA (3372 nucleotides) under Salmo trutta (river trout). RNAcentral describes it as "lncRNA (ENSSTUG00000036224.1)". The record is from RNAcentral. Lineage: Eukaryota; Metazoa; Chordata; Actinopteri; Salmoniformes; Salmonidae.